GAUGAACGCUGACAGAAUGCUUAACACAUGCAAGUCAACUUGAAUUUGGGUUUUUAACUUAGGUUUGGGUGGCGGACGGGUGAGUAACGCGUAAAGAACUUGCCUCACAGCUAGGGACAACAUUUGGAAACGAAUGCUAAUACCUAAUAUUAUGAUAAUAGGGCAUCCUAUAAUUAUGAAAGCUAUAAGCGCUGUGAGAGAGCUUUGCGUCGCAUCAGCUAGUUGGAGAGGUAACGGCUCACCAAGGCGAUGAUGGGUAGCCGGCCUGAGAGGGUGAUCGGCCACGAGGGGACUGAGACACGGCCCUUACUCCUACGGGAGGCAGCAGUGGGGAAUAUUAGACAAUGGACCAAGAGUCUGAUCCAGCAAUUCUGUGUGCACGAUGAAGUUUUUCGGAAUGUAAAGUGCUUUCAGUUGGGAAGAAAGAAAUGACGGUACCAACAGAAGAAGUGACGGCUAAAUACGUG
RNAcentral lists this ribosomal RNA (467 nucleotides) under uncultured bacterium. Its description in RNAcentral is "partial 16S ribosomal RNA". It matches the Rfam family "Bacterial small subunit ribosomal RNA", at positions 28 to 507 of the family's 1533-position model. The record is from RNAcentral.